GCCCGCGUGGCGCAAUGGUUAGCGCGUCAGACUUUUACGGCAAAGUGAUCUGAAUGUUGCGAGUUCGAGUCUCGCCGUGGGCG
Cladorrhinum samala is the source of this 83-nucleotide non-coding RNA. The record is from the annotation of a GenBank genome assembly. NCBI's taxonomy places the organism in Eukaryota, Fungi, Ascomycota, Sordariomycetes, Sordariales, Podosporaceae.